This 492-nucleotide ribosomal RNA is filed under the name uncultured bacterium. RNAcentral's name for it is "partial 16S ribosomal RNA". It matches the Rfam family "Bacterial small subunit ribosomal RNA", at positions 29 to 507 of the family's 1533-position model. The record is from RNAcentral.
AGUGAACGCUGGCGGUAGGCUUAACACAUGCAAGUCGAACGGUAGCACAGUAAAAGCUUGCUACUACGGGCGGCGAGUGGCGGACGGGUGAGGAAUACACCGGAAUCUAGUUUUUAGCGGGGGAUAACGUAGGGAAACUUACGCUACUACCGCAUACGACCUACGGGGGAAAGCAGGGCAUCUUCGGAACUUGCGCGACUGAAUGAGCCGAUGUCGGAUUAGCUGGUUGGCGGGGUAAAGGCCCACCAAGGCGACGAUCCGUAGCUGGUCUGAUAGGAUGAUCAGCCACACUGGAACUGAGACACGGUCCAGACUCCUACGGGAGGCAGCAGUGGGGAAUAUUGGACAAUGGGCGCAAGCCUGAUCCAGCCAUGCCGCGUGGGUGAAGAAGGCCUUCGGGUUGUAAAGCCCUUUUGUUGGGAAAGAAAAGCAGCAGGUUAAUACCCCGCGGUUCUGACGGUACCCAAAGAAUAAGCACCGGCUAACUUCGUG